AACGAACGCUGGCGGCAUGCCUAACACAUGCAAGUCGAACGAGACCUCCGGGUCUAGUGGCGCACGGGUGCGUAACGCGUGGGAACCUGCCUUUAGGUUCGGAAUACUUCAGAGUAAUUUGAGCUAAUACCGGAUGAUGUCUUCGGACCCAAGAUUUAUCGACGUUAGAUGGGCCCGCGUUGGUUUAGCUUGUGGGUGGGGUAAGGGCCUACCACGGCGAGGCUCCAUAGCUGGGCAGAGAGGCUGGGCAGCCACACUGGGGCGCGGACACGGCCCAGACUCCUACGGGAGGCAGCAGUGGGGAAUAGUGGACAAUGGGCGAAAGCCUGAUCCAGCAAUGCCGCGUGAGUGAUGAAGGCGUUAGGGUAGUAAAGCUCUUUUACCCGAGAUGAUAAUGACGGUAUCGGGAGAAUAAGCUCCGGCUAACUCCGUG
This 433-nucleotide ribosomal RNA is filed under the name uncultured bacterium. RNAcentral describes it as "partial 16S ribosomal RNA". It matches the Rfam family "Bacterial small subunit ribosomal RNA", at positions 29 to 507 of the family's 1533-position model. The record is from RNAcentral.